CUGACAUCAUCAAGCUCUGGUGCGCUAGGCUUUGAGUCCGAGAGUUUGCUUGUGUUGCUCUUUUUUGUUGUUUUGGAUGCUCCUUCGUUUUUGGUCCCAUCACCUGUAGUUGUCGGCUAGUCCUGUAUUAGACAAGUACUCUUAUUCUUUUACUAGCGCUCUCUAUUUGAUCGUAUUCUGCUAUAUUGGUUUCAGUUUAUGGAAUUUGAACCGCUUUUCCAGUUUCUUUUACCAGCACUCUCCAUUUUACAUACUAUUAGAUAAUUUAUUUCAUGUUUCCAAUGAAGCAAUUUGAACGGCUUUUCCAGUUUUCUCUCAGAAUAGAGGACUUAAUGUACACAAUUACACCAGAAGAGGUAAACCUGAAGCAGAUGCCUUAUAAAUCUCACUGGUUCUAGAAUUUAAUUAUUUUUCGUUUUUUCUUGAUCAUCUUCUUCGUAUUCUCCACCACCCCCAGUUUUUAAGUCUUCUCCUACUUAGUAGCAUAUUCAUGACAUUUCUCACUCUAUCUUUCAUCAUUUCUUGUAGGGAUAGUGAUUGUAAUUUUCCAUCUAAACUGUGUAUUUAUCAUUUGUGUAUGAGUCAUGAAUGAUGCAUACAAGCUUCAGUUUCUAAUUGAUGCCAUGUCAACUUCAGCAUCUAAGUCUUUUAGUCUCCAGAGCGUUUUGUACUAUAUAUAGACUGAGAUUAAACAUGAGAUAGUGCAAGAUUUCAGAUACCAUUCCAGCUUGGAUUGUCAAAAAUGGAUUUACGCAAAGUUGUGAAAUCAAGUCUAUCUGGGGUUGACAAAUCCAUCGGAGCAAUGUAUAAACGAUUACAGAAGAAUUUGACCUCAGAGGAGCUGUUGCCUUCACUAUGAGACAAGUGCAAGGUGGGCAUUGUCAGGGAUUCUAGAGAGGACGAAUAUAGAAGCCGAGGAUAGAAAUAUAGCCCCAGCAAAGCACGCGAGAUCCAUGCCACUGCUCACUCCUAUGCUCCUGAAUUUAUCCAGCACUUGCA
Molecule: long non-coding RNA, 999 nt
Organism: Salvia splendens (bonfire salvia)
Lineage: Eukaryota; Viridiplantae; Streptophyta; Magnoliopsida; Lamiales; Lamiaceae
Exons: 3
Source: RefSeq, a predicted model, not a curated record